CAAUAGCGUAUAUUUAAGUUGCUGCAGUUAAAAAGCUCGUAGUUGGAUUUCGGGUGGGAAUGGCCGGUCCGCCGUUUCGGUGUGCACUUGCUACGCCCACCUUGCUGCCGGGGACGUGCUCUUGAGUUCACGCUCGGGACACGGAGUCGGCGAGGUUCCUUUGAGUAAAUUAGAGUGUUCAAAGCAGGCCUACGCUCUGAAUACAUUAGCAUGGAAUAACACGAUAGGACUCUGGCCUAUCUCGUUGGUCUGUAGGACCGGAGUAAUGAUUAAGAGGGACAGUCGGGGGCAUUCGUAUUUCAUUGUCAGAGGUGAAAUUCUUGGAUUUAUGAAAGACGAACUACUGCGAAAGCAUUUGCCAAGGAUGUUUUCAUUAA
RNAcentral lists this ribosomal RNA (377 nucleotides) under uncultured eukaryote. RNAcentral's name for it is "partial 18S ribosomal RNA". It matches the Rfam family "Eukaryotic small subunit ribosomal RNA", at positions 592 to 976 of the family's 1831-position model. The record is from RNAcentral.